UGUGUGUGUGUGUGUGUGUGUGUGUGGGUGGGUGGUGCAGCAGGUGCAAGGCACACACACGCACACGCACACGCAUACACGCA
This 83-nucleotide microRNA precursor is filed under the name Drosophila guanche. The record is from RNAcentral. Lineage: Eukaryota; Metazoa; Arthropoda; Insecta; Diptera; Drosophilidae.